This 45-nucleotide non-coding RNA is filed under the name Schistosoma haematobium. Lineage: Eukaryota; Metazoa; Platyhelminthes; Trematoda; Strigeidida; Schistosomatidae. The record is from RNAcentral.
ACCCAGCUAAUGAGUCCCAAAUAGGACGAAACGCGCGUUCUGGAU